AACGCGAAGAACCUUACCUAGACUUGACAUCCCGGUGACCGCUCUGGAAACAGAGUUUUCCCUUCGGGGACACCGGUGACAGGUGGUGCAUGGUUGUCGUCAGCUCGUGUCGUGAGAUGUUCGGUUAAGUCCCGCAACGAGCGCAACCCCUAUUGUUAGUUGCUACGCAAGAGCACUCUAGCGAGACUGCCGUUGACAAAACGGAGGAAGGCGGGGACGACGUCAAAUCAUCAUGCCCCUUAUGUCCUGGGCUACACACGUAAUACAAUGGUGGUAAACAGAGGGAAGCAAUGGUGCGAACCGGAGCAAAUCCCUAAAAGCCAUCUCAGUUCGGAUUGCAGGCUGCAACUCGCCUGCAUGAAGCUGGAAUUGCUAGUAAUCGCGGAUCAGCAUGCCGCGGUGAAUACGUUCCCGGGUCUUGUACACACGC
Molecule: ribosomal RNA, 430 nt
Filed under: uncultured Clostridium sp.
Lineage: Bacteria; Bacillati; Bacillota; Clostridia; Eubacteriales; Clostridiaceae
Description: bacterial SSU rRNA
Rfam family: Bacterial small subunit ribosomal RNA
Source: RNAcentral